GCUUUACAGCGAGGCAGGAGGAGGGACGGACGGGAGCAAGCAAAGCGAGAGCCGCUUACAUGGCUUCUGUCCCGCUUUGCGCCGCUCUCACUUUGCUUGCCCAUCCCUCCUCCUGCCUCGCUGUAAAA
RNAcentral lists this microRNA precursor (128 nucleotides) under Podarcis lilfordi (Lilford's wall lizard). Lineage: Eukaryota; Metazoa; Chordata; Lepidosauria; Squamata; Lacertidae. The record is from RNAcentral.